This 107-nucleotide small nuclear RNA is filed under the name Tupaia belangeri chinensis (Chinese tree shrew). Lineage: Eukaryota; Metazoa; Chordata; Mammalia; Scandentia; Tupaiidae. The record is from RNAcentral.
GUGCUCGCUUUGGCAGCACAUAUACUAAAAUUGGAACGAUACAGAGAAGAUUAGCAUGGCCCCUGCACAAGGAUGACACGCAAAUUUACGAAGCAUUCCAUAUUUUU